Molecule: long non-coding RNA, 225 nt
Filed under: Carica papaya (papaya)
Lineage: Eukaryota; Viridiplantae; Streptophyta; Magnoliopsida; Brassicales; Caricaceae
Description: long non-coding RNA (CPAP_LNC002516)
Source: RNAcentral
UUGGGGCACUAGGCUAUACUGUGGUGGUGCCGAAUGAUGCAAUUGGGACUCUAAACCAUACUGUGGUGGUGCCAGAUUAUACUGUGGAGGAGCAAGGUUGUGCCACGGUAGCUCAAGAUCCUGCUGCUGCAAGGGUGGCUCAACUUGUGGUAGUGGGGGAGUGUCAGAUAGCUCCCUCCUUUCCUCCCGAGCCUGCUAGGCAGCGAUAAGUCUCUCCAGCAUUUC